AGUCCCCUAUGGGAGGCGCAGGCGGGAAUAGUUCCCAAUGGACGAAAGUCUGAGGACGCGACGCCGCGUGAGCGAAGAAGGCCUUCGGGUUGUAGAGCUCUGUCAGGAGGGAAGAAGGCGCUGGGUGUUAAUAGCACCAAGCGUUGACGGUACUUCCAGAGGAAGCCCCGGCUAAAUACGUGCCAGCAGCCGCGGUAAUACGUAUGGGGCAAGCGUUGUCCGGAUUAACUGGGCGUAAAGGGCACGCAGGCGGUUCGUUUAGUCGAAGGUGAAAUCCCCGGGCUCAACUCAGGAACUGCCUUCGAUACUGGCGAACUAGAGUGGCGUAGAGGAAAGCGGAACUCCUGGUGUAACGGUGGAAUGUGUAGAUAUCACGAGGAACACCGGUGGCGAAGGCGGCUUUCUGGACGCACACUGACGCUCAGGUGCGAAAGCGUGGUUAGCAAACAGGAUUAGAUACCCUGGUAGUCCACGCCGUAAACGAUGGGUACUAGGUGUCGGGGGUAUCGAUCCCCUCGGUGCCGAAGUCAACGCAUUAAGUACCCCGCCUGGGGAGUAUGGUCGCAAGGCUGAAACUCAAAGGAAUUGACGGGUCCCCGCACAAGCGG
Molecule: ribosomal RNA, 608 nt
Filed under: uncultured organism
Description: bacterial SSU rRNA
Rfam family: Bacterial small subunit ribosomal RNA
Source: RNAcentral